Oncorhynchus tshawytscha (Chinook salmon) is the source of this 601-nucleotide long non-coding RNA. Lineage: Eukaryota; Metazoa; Chordata; Actinopteri; Salmoniformes; Salmonidae. The record is from Ensembl.
GGACGGAAAGCAGGGUCAGGGCAGGCAGAAUGGGAAAACCACUGAUGAACAAAACGACCUGGCAACAGACAGGUAUAAAUACAGACAUGUAUAAAUACAGACAGGUAAAAUAAAGACAGGCAACAGACAGGUAUAAUACAGACAGGUAUAAAUACAGACAGGUAUAAAUACAGACAGGUAUAAUACAGACAUGUAACAGACAGGUAUAAUACAGACAGGUAUAAUACAGACAGGCAACAGACAGGUAUAAUACAGACAGGCAACAGACAGGUAUAAUACAGACAGGUUUAAUACAGAGAGGUAUAAUACAGACAGGUAUAAAUACAGACAGGCAACAGGCAGGUAUAAUACCGACAGGCAACAGACAGGUAUAAUACAGACAGGUAUAAUACAGACAGAUAUAAUACAGACAGGUAUAAAUACAGACAGGUUUAAUACAUACAGGUAUAAUACAGACAGGUAUAAUACAGACAGAUUUAAUACAGACAGGCAACAGACAGGUAUAGUACAGACAGGUAUAAAUACAGACAGGCAACAGACAGGCAACAGACAGGUAUAAAUACAGACAGGUAUAAAUACAGACAUGUAUAAAUACAGACAG